ACUUGGAUAACCGUAGUAACAUAGAGCUAAUACAUGCAAAUACUACUAACCGUAAGGAAAGAAGGCACUUAUUAGAUUAUAAACCAAUCCAUGUAAAAGUGGUAUUAGGUGAUUCAUAGUAAGGUUGGAAAUCGUAUAGAGGUAACUCUGACGAUAUAUCACUCAAAUUUCUGCCCUAUCAACUUUGGAUGGUAGUAUAGAGGACUACCAUGGUGAUAACGGGUAACGGAGAAUUAGGGUUCGAUUCCGGAGAGGGAGCCUGAGAAAUGGCUACCACUUCUAAGGAGGGCAGCAGGCGCGCAAAUUACCCAAUCCUAAUACGGGGAGGUAGUGACAAUAAAUAACAAUGCUGGGUCUAUGACUUAGUAAUUGGAAUGAGAACAAUUUAAACCCCUUAUCGAGUAACCAUCAGAGGGCAAGUCUGGUGCCAGCAGCCGCGGUAAUUCCAGCUCUGAUAGCGUAUAUUAAAGUUGUUGCAGUUAAAAAGCUCGUAGUUGGAUAUUAGGAUUUUAUUGAUAUGGUCGGUUGUGAUAAACAAUCUUGUACUGUAUUGGUGAUCCUUUCCUACUGGUAACUCGACUCUGUCCUUUACUGGAUGGAGUAGUAUCGCAAGGUAUCGGUUAGUGUUAUAUUGCCUUUAAACGUAGUGGUCGGGUAAAAACUGGUUAUGAAAUUUAAGGGAUCACAAUGUAGUAUUAAGUGGGGUUCCAGUUCAUUUACUUUGAGUAAAUUAGAGUGUUCAAAGCAGCCUCUUUGGGGCAUUGAAUAGAUUAGCAUGGGAUAAUAGAAUAGGACUUUAGUGUUUUUAUUGGUUUAAAGAUUUAAGGUAAUGAUUAAUAGGGAUAGUUGGGGGCACUUGUAUUCAAUAGACAGGUGAAAUUCUAGGAUUUAUUGAAGACAAACUUCAGCGAAAGCAUUUGCCAAGGAUGUUUUCAUUAAUCAAGAACGAAAGUUAGGGGAUCGAAGACGAUUAGACACCGUCGUAGUCUUAACUAUAAACUAUGCCGACCAGGGAUUUGAGAAUUAUUUAUAAUAUUGAUUUAUUAUAAUUUCUUGAGCACCUUGUGAGAAAUCAUAAGUUUUUGGGUUCUGGGGGGAGUAUGGUCGCAAGGCUGAAACUUAAAGGAAUUGACGGAGGGGCACCACCAGGAGUGGAGCCUGCGGCUUAAUUUGACACAACACGGGAAAACUUACCAGGUCCAGACAUUAGAAGGAUUGACAGGUUGAUAGCCCUUUCUUGAUUUGAUGGGUGGUGGUGCAUGGCCGUUCUUAGUUGGUGGAGUGAUUUGUCUGGUUAAUUCCGAUAACGAACGAGACCUCUGCCUUUAAAUAGAGAUGAGUAAACU
This 1346-nucleotide ribosomal RNA is filed under the name metagenome. Its description in RNAcentral is "SSU rRNA". It matches the Rfam family "Eukaryotic small subunit ribosomal RNA", at positions 137 to 1371 of the family's 1831-position model. The record is from RNAcentral.